RNAcentral lists this transfer RNA (73 nucleotides) under Felis catus (domestic cat). It matches the Rfam family "tRNA". Rfam says of the family: Transfer RNA (tRNA) molecules are approximately 80 nucleotides in length. Their secondary structure includes four short double-helical elements and three loops (D, anti-codon, and T loops). The record is from Rfam by way of RNAcentral. Lineage: Eukaryota; Metazoa; Chordata; Mammalia; Carnivora; Felidae.
UCCUGGCUGGCUCAGUCGGUAGAGCGUGGGACUCUUGAUCUUGGGGUUGUGAGUUUGAGCCCCAUGUUGGGUG